UGAGGAAUUUUGCGCAAUGGGGGAAACCCUGACGCAGCAACGCCGCGUGGGCGAUGAAGGCCUUCGGGUCGUAAAGCCCUGUCGGGCGGGAAGAACGCUCUUGGUCGAAAGACUGGGGGGUGACGGUACCGCCAGAGGAAGCACCGGCUAACUCCGUGCCAGCAGCCGCGGUAAUACGGAGGGUGCAGGCGUUAUUCGGAAUUACUGGGCGUAAAGGGCGUGCAGGCGGGAGAGUAAGUCUGAUGUGAAAGCCCGGGGCUUAACCCCGGAAGGGCAUUGGAAACUGCUUGUCUUGAG
This 297-nucleotide ribosomal RNA is filed under the name uncultured prokaryote. Its description in RNAcentral is "partial 16S ribosomal RNA". It matches the Rfam family "Bacterial small subunit ribosomal RNA", at positions 355 to 646 of the family's 1533-position model. The record is from RNAcentral.